This is a long non-coding RNA of Mytilus trossulus (common blue mussel), 273 nucleotides long. RefSeq lists it as uncharacterized. The transcript has 2 exons. Lineage: Eukaryota; Metazoa; Mollusca; Bivalvia; Mytilida; Mytilidae. The record is from RefSeq and is a predicted model, not a curated record.
AUUUUUAUUGAUAUGUAUUGUUUUAUUUCAGAAUAAAUCAUUUGUCUUGACAUGCUAAAAGAGGAAAUAAUGCACAGUAGCAACUAUAUUGCUAGGCCAGUGACCAGCAGUUGGGUACUAAGAAAGGAGAAGCUCUUAUUGACUGGUAAAAUGAAAACAGGACAUUUUCAAAUUGUUUUGAUUGGUCAAUAUUAUGUAUAUGUACGUUGAUAUGAAUUUAUGAUUUUAUAUUUGAUUGUGUUCAAUGAUUAACUGGAAAUAAACAAUUACAUA